This is a long non-coding RNA of Rosa rugosa (rugosa rose), 5309 nucleotides long. RefSeq lists it as uncharacterized. The record is from RefSeq and is a predicted model, not a curated record. Lineage: Eukaryota; Viridiplantae; Streptophyta; Magnoliopsida; Rosales; Rosaceae. The transcript has 3 exons.
UUAGGUUUUCCUCAUUUACCUUUCUAUUAGAAUUGCUCUGAUUACCUGAGGAAUUAAGGUUAUUAAGCUGAGAUUUGUGUGUUGUGAAUUUGGUUGACGUUGAUUUGGGGAGCAGGGUGGCUCCAGGAGAAUAAGGAUGGGUGAUUUAGAAGUGUAAAUUUUCUUUCUACAGGUUUUGGGUUGUCCACUUUAGGGGAAGUUCUGCCAAAUUUUUGGCAAAAUUUCUUCUAAGGUGGGCCCCGCAGGGCCACCCCAGGUUUCGGGGUGAAAUCUGGGGCGGGUCUUGUCAGUUGGUAUCAGAGCAUUAGGUUGUCAGAUUCUGUAGACUCGUUUCUAUUCUGUUACCUUAUAUGCUAGGUGUUGCCCAGUACCUCCCGAGUGAUGGCCCGACUGCAGCGGUUCCCCAUCGUGUACUCUUCGGUGCUGUGGUAUUCAUCAAGUGUGUAAGGUACAUGUCUAGUGGGUAUUUCCUUCAAGUACUAUGCCUCGUGUACGCCGACCUCAUAGGAACUUCACUGUGUAUCGGAUUGUCUUCAUGUCUUAUACUUGUCCGGUUGUGGUAGGGUAAGAGCACUCUACCUGGUUGUGUUGUGCUAUGAAAUGUGAUUCGAGGAAAUGUUGGGAGUAACUUUUCCUCGAUGUCAACGGAUUAUUGGAACAUGGUUUAGGGUACGAGACCGGAGUUUGAUGGUGUGUUUCAUUUCUGGAAAUGAGCAACUACGGUUUGACCUAUCUUUAGAGACUGUAAUUAAUUCAAAAUCAUGAUUGUUGGUGGAAAUAGAAUCGGUAAUUAUGGUGGUUCUGUUUGGAACCAAGUUUAAGCAAACGUGUGUUGUGAGGUGAUUGAUUGUAGAGCAGUUUAUAAAAUACUUUGGGAAGUUGAUGGGAGGUCCCUUGAGAAUCUUAGUGCAAGAAACCGAUUGUAGGUAAAUCUGGACUGGAAUCUCUUCAAUUGGACAAUUUAGGUGGGAAUUGUGAACGUAUUACCUUUUGGUAGACAGCGGAGGAAAAUUGAAUAAAUAUUCUGAGUUGUAUAGCUGGAUGCCAUGUUUUCUAGUGACUGUGGUCACUGAGGAUGGUAAAUAAGGAGUGGAGGUGAUAACAGUAGAUAGGAGAUUAUAAGUGGAACGAGUCAUUUUGGGGUUGUUGACUUGACUGAAACAAUUGAUAGCUUUGUUUGGAUUAGAAGAAUGUGAAUUCUAGAUACUUUGAUUUAUAAUUGGUCAAAUGUAUGGGAAAACGGAUAAAGAGUGGGUUUUUGAAGCUAAUAUGUGGUGGAAGUUUGAGGAAUCGAGGAAAUGAUUAAAGUUUUACUAUAAAGUUAUGACUUCAGUCCAUAUUUCUAACUAGUAGAAUUAGAAUCAACCUUUAGUAUGUAAUAUCGUGCCAACAGGUGUCCUUUUACUUAUAUGUUUAUCGAGAUGGUGGAUUGUAAUAUCAGAGAAUUUUUUUUUUAAGAUGACAUCGCCAGAUAUUUGUAGUAUUUCGAGUGGGAUUACUUUAUGAUACGGAAUGUGAUUCGAGUUUUGAUUAGUGAAGUCUUGGAGAUUAAUUGCGAUAUGUUUUGGUGGAACUUUUGAUCGACAGUUUGGUAGUGACUUUUAUAAGCAUUGUUAGUAGAGUAACUUUAUGGAAAUAAGUUUUCUAGUAGGUUCCGGAAAUCUUUGAAGUCGGGAAAUAUUUGAAGUUAAAGAAUUGACCAGUUUGUUUAAUUAUAUUGGGUGAAGCAUAUUGAGGUUUGCCUUUUUAAUGAAAUAAUUCAGCAUAUUGGACGAUUAAUUUGAGAAAUUGGAUUGUCAUGCUAUAAGAUCACUUUUAGAUUCGAGUGUUGUCUUAAUUGAUACAAGGUUGGACGAGCGUCCUUCGUCUCUCUCCAGCAACUUAUUCGAGAAAGACCUGGUGAAUGAUGGUUUGUCGUUUGCGUUGGGUAUUUGUAUUAAAUGUUUUGAUUUGGGAGAAAUUGAAUGAGUUCUUUCUACACUGGUGUUAGUAUAUGUGGAAUAGGUAAGUCUGUUGAAUUGUGAUUCUUACCUUGAUUAACAUUUCUGUCCUGUGGUGACCCUUAAUCGAGAAUUUAGGAAGGGGAUUUGUGUAAUUGACAUAUGGUCACCAAAGCACGGGUAUUAGCAGAAUUGUGUGGACGGAAAAUAUGAGGUUGGCAUAAAAGUGUUUGCAUAUCUCAAGAUCGAACUAUGUGCAUAAAUUGAGGGGGACUAAAUCUUAAGUGCCAAAACAUUCCUCGAGAUUAUGUUCCAUUUUGAGCUAAGCAGUUUUAUAUUAGAAAUAUCAACUGAAUUUGAAGACCUCGGUUUCUUACUCACGAGAGCCUAAGUUUUUAAAUUUCGUGGGAUUGUGUUUCGUCCAGUGUUUUCUUGAAAAGGGUUUUCCUUGUAGAAUUGUGAAAUUUCUGAAUAUUGAUUGGACCAUUGGAAGGUCAAAGCAAAGUUUGAUUAUUAGAAAGGUGAAUUUGCAGACUUCUAGCUUUCUAUUCGAAUGUAAUGGGAAUAUAAAAAUUUUAUGCAAAAAGGGGAAAAGUGGUUCGUUUCUGUUCCAUAAGGUUUUAUCCUUUCUGAUCUCGUGGAUUUGAAAAAUUUGCAGUUUGAGAAAUUAUAGGUCCGCAGUAGUUGCAUAACAAUUGAUUGAAUUUGAUAAGCUGCUGUCUACAUUUAAUUUAAAAAAGGAGUAAUUUAUGCAGAAAAUUUUCGAUCUCAUUGUUUCUUAUGGGAUUCUAUUAAAAGAACUAAGAUGAGGCUUGAGAUUUUUGGAUGUAAUAAUUGUUCGUGUGGUAUGGUAAUUGAGGUUGUCGAUGUAACUAGAAUUUUUGUUAAAUAAGUAUUAUUAGGAGAGUGGAUCUUUAACCACCUUAUUUUUUUGUCAGCUCAGUAAUAGACGGUUGUUGCCAAAAAAAUGUCAAUUUUAAGUCAAGGAUGAAGGGAUGGCUAUGUUUAAGUAGUCUGUAGUUUAAUGUUGGUUGUUGGAUUAAUACAAUUUGAAACACAAAGAAAAGGGUGGAACGCUAUGGUAGCAGCCUUCGUACAAGAAUUUAAGCCUGAUUGGAAACGUCGCACUCAAAGAGUAUUGUCUUAAGAUAGCCGAAGAAACUAUUUGAAUAGGAACUUAUCGGUUUAAUCAAAGUUAUCCUACGUUACUUUUGACAACUGUGGGAUAUUUACGUAAACGACAUUUGACCAGAAAUCUAGGCACAAACGGACAAAAUGAAAGUGUGGUUUUGUGGUUGCUAAGGAAUUUGGUUGUUUUAGACUUGUGGGGUAUCUGCGAACAUCUUAUGGUGUUUUAUUAGCAGUUGGACUUUCCCACAAACCCCUGUACGAAUUGAGAACGUAUUAAAUGUGGGUCAAUGUAUUUUCACGACGUUGUUAGUGAACGGGUUAGAUCUUCCCCGUACGAGUUAUAUGAGAAUUCUGUGAAUGCCACUGUUCCAACCGAAUGGUUUUUGAUGCUGAUACCUUGCGUCAUUUGGGCUAUUGGCGGACACGAAAUUCUUGACGCUGAAAUUCAUGUAUUUGUGAGAUUGUGUUGCUACGUUAUUAGGCAAGACAAGUGCUUCGACUUGAGUGUUGUUAAUUUGGGGUUAUAAGCAUGUUUUAUUCUUGUUUGUGUUGUUGGGUUUGCCGGAGAUUCUAUUGAUUGUUAAAGUAGUUGAUUUGAGGUUGUAAAAGAAAACUUAACUAGAGGAAGAGUCGACAAGUUUUGAGAUUCCGACAGCAUCGAAUGGGGUUUUCCUUCGAUAAGUCUUUUGGGAUUAUGAAAGAAAUUGUUCUUGCAUAUGUUAUAAGUUGUUGCAUCAAUAUCUCGUUCCCCUUGACACGCUAGUCAAUUUUCCAUUAUGUGGUACUCAAAGUAUGAUUCAUUCCAGUCACCGACCUCGGUUUAACCAUAAGUCUUUAUUCUCGAAAUUCUACCAUGUGUUCCUGCUCACAUAUUCGAAUCAUUUACGGGUUUCUUUGAACAUAAGGUUUUUCAAUCACGAAUGGGGGUAAACUUUUCUUGUGGGAUGGUUAAGUUCAGCGGGGUUACUAUGGAAUCGAUUGAAUUAUUGUGACGGACAAGGUUUCAGAUUACGAAUUGUUUAUUUCAAGUAUUGAAAUUCUUUUCUAGUUGAUUAAUUCUUGAACUAGAUUUGGAGUAUUAACUAGUGUUGGAAACAUUGUAGUCCAUUAAAGAAUCUGGUAUAUACAGAGUUGGGAACUUUCAACAAUGUUGUAUCUGUAAUGAUGUAGUUGUGAGGUUUUGUCAUACAGUUGGGUGGAAAUAUCCUAUGUAGGGCUAGUGGAGAUCAUCAGAGUUUUGUUGAUUGCCGAUUUGAGGUUACAGAAAGGAAAGUUUAAUUUAAGGGAAGAGUGAUAAGUUUCGAGAUUGUGAUAUUUUUGAAUUAAUUGCUGUGCUGUUUAUGUUCUAACCGGCAUGAAAUUUCGAGGGCGAAAUUUUUAUAAGGAGGGGAGAAUGUAACGUCCCGUAUCUUAAAUUACCAAUUUACAAGUUAGUUGGACGGUAAACGACCGUUAUUUUCACUUUUACUGUCGUUUAAGUACUUUUAGUGGCCCUAAAAGUUGACUUUUUGAUCGGGCCAAAAUUUGAGAAAAUUUCCUUCAUGAAAGUUGUAGAGGACGUUAACCCGAGCGCGUGCAUAUGUGGUGCGUAAAAAUCGGAGUUCGUAUGCGAAAGUUACAAGCGAAAUAGUAAAGUUACUGUUCAUUGGUAGAAAGUAUAAAUUUGAAAAUUUACUGUUGCUGGGUAAUUUCUUUUCUCUCUCCCCUUCCCCGCGUUUUCUCUCUUCUCCCCGAACUGUUGCUCUUUCUCCCUCUCGCCUGCAACUCCGGCCUUCUUCCUCCUCCGGCCACCUGACGACGAAAAGCAAGUAUCUUUGGACUCGUCUCCGCUCCCUCUAGGUGCCUGUGGUGGUGUUUUGCGGUGGCUCGGCCCAAUGAGCUCGGAUUUGAGCUGUGAAGUUCACUGUAGCAAUCCGGAAGUUUCGUCGAUUUCCGGCGAUUCCGGCCAUCUCCGGCCACCAAACCGGCGUCGAAGGAGCGGUUUUUCCCAAGGAUCAUGUUGCCCCUAGCCUUGAGCCACGAUUUGCAGUGUGGAGGUCGAAUCGAAUGUUUGAAAUUCCGAGUUACUAUUCACAAUUCGGGUUCAAACUUCUCUUUAAUUGUUGAGGAUGUCGUACCGGGCUCUGGCUCGAUAAAGGAACUCGUAUACGUGACCGUCGGAAUAGUACUUGUACAGGUGAAAUUAGUUGAGGUCGGGCGUACAUGGUGUCGAGGCAUAGUCAACAGCAUGGCUUCCGC